Molecule: ribosomal RNA, 644 nt
Filed under: Pseudoalteromonas sp. S2755
Lineage: Bacteria; Pseudomonadati; Pseudomonadota; Gammaproteobacteria; Alteromonadales; Pseudoalteromonadaceae
Description: partial 23S ribosomal RNA
Rfam family: Bacterial large subunit ribosomal RNA
Source: RNAcentral
UGGGUGACUGCGUACCUUUUGUAUAAUGGGUCAGCGACUUAUAUUCUGUAGCGAGGUUAACCAUUUAGGGGAGCCGUAGCGAAAGCGAGUCUUAACUGGGCGCUUAAGUUGCAGGGUAUAGACCCGAAACCCGGUGAUCUAGCCAUGGGCAGGUUGAAGGUUGAGUAACAUCAACUGGAGGACCGAACCCACUAACGUUGAAAAGUUAGGGGAUGACCUGUGGCUAGGAGUGAAAGGCUAAUCAAACCGGGAGAUAGCUGGUUCUCCCCGAAAUCUAUUUAGGUAGAGCCUCGGACGAAUACUUACGGGGGUAGAGCACUGUUAAGGCUAGGGGGUCAUCCCGACUUACCAACCCUUUGCAAACUCCGAAUACCGUAAAGUACUAUCCGGGAGACACACGGCGGGUGCUAACGUCCGUCGUGGAGAGGGAAACAACCCAGACCGUCAGCUAAGGUCCCAAAGUGUAUGUUAAGUGGGAAACGAUGUGGGAAGGCUAAAACAGCUAGGAGGUUGGCUUAGAAGCAGCCACCCUUUAAAGAAAGCGUAAUAGCUCACUAGUCGAGUCGGCCUGCGCGGAAGAUGUAACGGGGCUAAACAUACCACCGAAGCUACGGCUGCGAAUUUAUUCGCGGGGUAGGGGAGCG